AGAGGAGUUAUAACACCUGGAAAGGUAAUAAAGUCUCAUGCAUUUGUUGGAAUUAGCAAUAAUAUAAUAUGUUGAAGUUCUCAAGUGACAUUGGUUUGCUUCUUUCCAUUUUGGAAUUUUAGCUCAAAUUUGGACAUCUUGUUAAAAAUUAAUUUUCCCUUGAUUGAACUUAACAAUGAAAAUGAGUUUAAGAACAAUGAAAAUGAGUUUAAGGCAAUCUUCUAAAUUAUUGCUGCAUACAAAUUUUAUAUGCAUGAAUGCUUUGGAAAUGUUUGGUUGGGGAAAAUGAUACCUAGUUCUAUGCUCAAGAUGUAGUGUAGUUUUACUUGUUUGCUUUCACAUCUGGUGUGCAGGUGUGGGACCAUAUGAAUACCUGUUUUCAUUAAUGGUCUACUGCCCUUGCAUUGCACUUAAAUUUAUGUCAAUUAUGUGGAAUGUUUUAAUGGGUGCUUCUAUCAAUUCUCAAUGCUCUCUAUGUGAUGGGUGAGGCCUUCAUUGACCCCACACUGCUUCAUAAACACCCCACCCUGUCUUGGCCCUGAUCCUAGAUGCCAAAAGGGAUACAAUGUUUUCCCAGUCACUUCAUUGGGGAAUGGGUCUCCUACCCCCACCUUGUUAGGACAAAAUAAUUUUUUUUUAAAUUAUCAUCAUUCCUCAUGAGAAAAAAGAAAAUGCAAAUCCAGACCUUUAAGUAAGCAAUUAGUUAUAUUUUAUUAAGGGGAAAGUACAAAAAAGGACCAUGUAGUUUUGUGCUUUGACACUUUGAGGCGUGUGGCUCAAUUUUUGACAAAACAAUACCCUAAGAUUUCCCUUUGUUAGCACUUAAAGAACUAUCUGCUAUAAUACCGUUAGUUUGCUGAUGUGGUAUCAUAAAAUGACAUUUUCAAUAUGUUGUGGGUGCUACAAAUAAGUAACAAAUGAAAAUGACUGUUCAAUUUCAAUGAAAAUAAAAAAUAAUUUCAUUUAAUUAAAAAUUUGUAAAACAAAAUUACGUAAAUCUCCUUCUUCCCUGAAACCCUUAGCUUACCCCAGCCUCCUGCUACACAGUAUCAGUAGUAGAGACACUGUUCAAUGCAUGCCCUAAAACAAAUUCCAUGGUCAUCCCAAUCAAAUCCUCACAGAUCAACACCACACUUCUCCCCUAAAAUGAAUACCCGCUUCAAGAAGAAUCGCAAGAAGCUUGAUCACAUGAGCGUCAGAAGCUUGAUCACAUGAGCGUC
Molecule: unclassified non-coding RNA, 1220 nt
Filed under: Hevea brasiliensis (rubber tree)
Lineage: Eukaryota; Viridiplantae; Streptophyta; Magnoliopsida; Malpighiales; Euphorbiaceae
Source: RNAcentral